UUGUGAUAGGAAUAUUUAGAAGAGUGAAAAAUCAGGCUGGCUUUAAACAUUAAAAUGUAGCUUCACUAAAUUAAUUAAUUAACAUCAUAUUUCUUGAUCAUGGCUAAAUCUUAUAGAAUAUUAAUCAUUACUGUUUUGUACACAAACCUGUUAGUCUUUAACACUUAUCCUGAAUUAGCUGUGAGCACGCAAUAUCAAGGAGCUGAUGCCGGGUAGUUGUGUUUAAAGGAAUCCACACAACAAAUGUUAGUCUUCAUCCCAGGGGCUCAUGCAUCAAGUUCCAGAUCCCAUGGGUAUGAAAGCCAACAAAUGCUGUAGGACUGUUCUUUUUAAGUACCGUAUUUAAUGCACUUUUUGAUGAGGUUAGGGUAUUGGGAUGCAGUGUUCAUAACUACAUGAUGUGCAGUGAGGCUAAAUUAAGAUUCUCAUUUUUUUUAACUACUCAAUACUGUGAACUGUACAAUCUGAUACAGUCUGUAGAAUUUUCAUUUGGAUCAAAGCCAAUGCUUGUAAUGUGUCUGAAAAUGUAAACCUUGGACAGUUCUGAUGUCUAAAUUCUCUAAAUUCCAAUGAACAGUAGCUAUAGUACUGUUUUAUUUCACGAUGCCAUACUCAUUUAUCAGCAAUUAUCUUGAACUUUGUCCCUUUUUGAUUUUAUAGAGUUAACAGUUGAUGAAAUCAGAACGGUACAGUGCAGGCAGUAUUGCUGAAACUCUUGUAAUGAUUAGCUUGGCAACAUAUCCUUAAAGUGAACGACAGAAAUUUACUCCAAAUUUUUUUCUUUUUUUUUUCACACAUCCAUGAGAGGACGAGGUCAUAAGUAAAGAACAAUUUUGUGAAAUUAAGCUUCAAAUUAAUUCAAUAUUUUCUUUUUAUAUUUUAUGAGUGGGCUCUGAAAAUCUCUCUUGAAACUCAGGGAUAGUUCACACUUUCUAACUUUUGGCUCCCGCUGAUUAGAGCUGUGGAGUGAAACUGAGUGAGUUUCAAUAUGGUGAUAUAUUUAUCUUCCCAUUGUGCAUAAAGGGAGCUUAGGAAAAUCAGGUUUGGUUGGAAAUAUUAAGUUAGUGCCUAAAAGAAGCUGGUGGAAAGCUCACCCUGUUCAUUGUUGGUCAGUGAUUUUCCAGAAUGACAAGAAAGCUGAAGCCAUCCAAGUGUGUUGUUGACAGAAAAGGACUUCUAGAAGAUACUUGCCUUUGAUCUCCUGCCAUACUCUGCUAUGGAAGUUAUCAAGUGUUCUCAGGACUGCUAGAGCAAAUUUUGCCCUCUGAAUGCUCUUAUCCAUCAGAGCUGUGUCCCAUAUCUCUAACAGCUGUCACAGUGUUCUCACAGAGUUAUCUGCAUCUGAAGGAGAGCAGGUGUUAUUUCUAGCACUCCUUCGUGGCCUGGCAUCAGCAGUCUCUCACUGUCACCGCAGGACCAUGGCAAUGCUCCAAACUGUGAGUUUCCCACAAACACCGGAUGGCAGGAAUCUAGGGAUCAACCAGAAGGCCCCCACUCAAUUUUCUGAUAUAAAACUAUAGCACUUAGGAGCUUUGUUUCACCUAACUGUACUCUUUUUCAUUCAGUCAUAUUAAGGGAAUAUUAGAGUUCAAAUUGUCAUAAUCCUAAGGACAGGAGGACUCAUUUUUGCUUGUUUUGGGUAUAUACUCUGGUCUCAUAAAAAUCAUAUUCUUAGCUAAAUGAAAAAAAAAAAGCUUCCUUUUCAACACCUCUUUCAAAUAUGGGAAACAGAUGGCUCUCUUCAUGCUUCAUGACUAUUACCACUUGAUGUGAAGUAUCUCCACUGUUUGAGUUUGACACAUGCAAGGGCACUGCUCUCUGCUUUAACACAUCUUCUGCAUCUUGAAGAUAUCUAGGCAUGCUAUGAGACACCAGUUCUGAACAGUUUCUUAAGCUAUGGUAGUUCUAUGAUGUAGUUGCUAUAAAUAAAAAAGAAAAAAAUCCAGUGACUAUUAUGGAGAAUAUGGUACCUCAGACCAGUUAAACCUCUAUAUUGCCCAGCUGCCCAGUGACAAGUGACUGUUAAAAGGAAGAACCAUCUCUAUUUUACCUCUCUGACUCAAUUGGAUAGAUCAGAGCACGAUCCAGGUACAUGACCCUUUUCUGCUAACAAGGCAAAAUCACAUAGAAGGAUCAGGUUUUUUUCUGGAUAGCUUCAGACAGCUCUAGGUAACUUAGCUUGCCUAUUUAAAGUUCCCAUUUGUCAGUUUUUAAGGAAUCAUGUAAGAGAAUAAUUCAGUCUGAAAGAAAAAGAAAUUGGAGAAUCGGAAAGAAUUAGUGUUGAACUCAUGAGUCUAAAAAACUCCACAGGUUUUUUUGCUUUUGGAUUUGCCAUUUCUUUGCUACCUACUUGUUCUCCAAACUGUAGCUUACUAAUUUUGGAACUUCUUAAUGAAUGAGGGGCUUUCAUUAAAGAUCUUGAGCAGUGUAAAUGAUACUUUCUAUACCUUUCAACAAUGAAGUUUGUUGUUUUUUUUUUUUAAAUUGCAAAGUAAGAUUUUAAAAAGUAAAAGAUGCAUAGUAAAAUUUCAUCAGUUUUAAGUUAAUAUAAUAGAGUAAAAUUUCCUCAACUAAUUUCAAGGAAACUUGUGCUACUGGUUUUCCACACUGAAGUUAAUUAGAACCUUAAGGUUUUCUUAUAUUGCAACAUUCAGUACCCUGAGUCAGAAAAGACUGAGUGUGGAACUCUCAUAAACACAACACAUAAAUUAGAGAACUCCAGCUGUGACAUACUGUUAUACACAAAACCCUAGAAAAAAAGUCAGAAUCUUUAUAAGUCAUCAUUAUGGUGUGGUGCUGCAGAAAAGAAAAGCCCUAUGUACUACAUGGAACUCUUGUUAUUUAUUUCUUUUCCUCCAGUGACUUUUCUUCCUCCAUUGACUUCAUUGACAACUGAAAGAAAUACUAAAGAAAACAGUUGUCUCAGUUAUUGUGCAAAAGGUAACAGCUCUUUCUGUUUCAGCUAUAUUUUGAAGUAGAGUACAUUUUGAAGUCUAAUUGUA
This is a long non-coding RNA of Pseudopipra pipra, 3002 nucleotides long. RefSeq lists it as uncharacterized. Lineage: Eukaryota; Metazoa; Chordata; Aves; Passeriformes; Pipridae. The record is from RefSeq and is a predicted model, not a curated record. The transcript is spliced from 2 exons.